UACGGAGGGUGCAAGCGUUAAUCGGAAUUACUGGGCGUAAAGCGCGCGUAGGUGGUUAAGUAAGUCAGAUGUGAAAGCCCCGGGCUCAACCUGGGAACUGCAUUUGAAACUGCUUGGCUAGAGUAUGGUAGAGGGAAGCGGAAUUCCGGGUGUAGCGGUGAAAUGCGUAGAUAUCCGGAGGAACAUCAGUGGCGAAGGCGGCUUCCUGGACCAAUACUGACACUGAGGUGCGAAAGCGUGGGUAGCAAACAGG
This 253-nucleotide ribosomal RNA is filed under the name uncultured bacterium. Its description in RNAcentral is "partial 16S ribosomal RNA". It matches the Rfam family "Bacterial small subunit ribosomal RNA", at positions 524 to 776 of the family's 1533-position model. The record is from RNAcentral.